RNAcentral lists this ribosomal RNA (468 nucleotides) under uncultured bacterium. RNAcentral's name for it is "partial 16S ribosomal RNA". It matches the Rfam family "Bacterial small subunit ribosomal RNA", at positions 28 to 507 of the family's 1533-position model. The record is from RNAcentral.
GGCGAACGCUGGCGGUGUGCUUAACACAUGCAAGUCGAACGGUAAGGCCCUUUCGGGGGUACACGAGUGGCGAACGGGUGAGUAACACGUGAGUAACCUGCCCUCAUCUCUGGGAUAACAGUCGGAAACGGUUGCUAAUACUGGAUAUGAGCUUGCAAGGCAUCUUGUGGGUUGGAAAGAUUUUUUUUGGUUGGGGAUGGACUCGCGGCCUAUCAGCUUGUUGGUGAGGUAGUGGCUCACCAAGGCUUCGACGGGUAGCCGGCCUGAGAGGGCGACCGGCCACAUUGGGACUGAGAUACGGCCCAAACUCCUACGGGAGGCAGCAGUGGGGAAUAUUGCACAAUGGACGGAAGUCUGAUGCAGCAACGCCGCGUGCGGGAUGACGGCCUUCGGGUUGUAAACCGCUUUCAAUUGUGACGAAGCUUUUUUGUGACGGUAGCAGUAGAAGAAGCACCGGCUAACUACGUG